Molecule: non-coding RNA, 79 nt
Organism: Podarcis lilfordi (Lilford's wall lizard)
Lineage: Eukaryota; Metazoa; Chordata; Lepidosauria; Squamata; Lacertidae
Source: the annotation of a GenBank genome assembly
ACUGCAGAGGGAUAGCUUAGUCAGUAGAGAAUGAGACUCUUAAUCUCAGGGUUGUGGGUUCGAGCCCCACAUUCCAGGG